UGGGGAAUCUUGCACAAUGGGCGAAAGCCUGAUGCAGCGACGCCGCGUGCGGGAUGAAGGCCUUCGGGUUGUAAACCGCUUUCAGCAGGGACGAGGCGAAAGUGACGGUACCUGCAGAAGAAGCCCCGGCUAACUACGUGCCAGCAGCCGCGGUAAUACGUAGGGGGCAAGCGUUAUCCGGAUUCAUUGGGCGUAAAGCGCUCGUAGGCGGUCUGUUAGGUCGGGAGUUAAAUCCGGGGGCUCAACCCCCGUUCGCUCCCGAUACCGGCAGACUUGAGUUUGGUAGGGGAAGGUGGAAUUCCUAGUGUAGCGGUGGAAUGCGCAGAUAUUAGGAAGAACACCAGUGGCGAAGGCGGCCUUCUGGGCCAUAACUGACGCUGAGGAGCGAAAGCUAGGGGAGCAAACAGGAUUAGAUACCCUGGUAGUCCUAGCCGUAAACGAUGGACACUAGGUGUGGGGGAAUAUUUCUUCCGUGCCGCAGCUAACGCAUUAAGUGUCCCGCCUGGGGAGUACGGCCGCAAGGCUA
Molecule: ribosomal RNA, 526 nt
Filed under: uncultured bacterium
Lineage: Bacteria
Description: bacterial SSU rRNA
Rfam family: Bacterial small subunit ribosomal RNA
Source: RNAcentral